RNAcentral lists this ribosomal RNA (956 nucleotides) under marine metagenome. RNAcentral's name for it is "bacterial SSU rRNA". It matches the Rfam family "Bacterial small subunit ribosomal RNA", at positions 8 to 1010 of the family's 1533-position model. The record is from RNAcentral.
AGAGUUUGAUCAUGGCUCAGAACGUACGCUGGCGGCACGCCUAACACAUGCAAGUCGAACGCAGUAGCAAUACUGAGUGGCAAACGGGUGAGUAUAAUGUGGGAAUCUGCCUUUUGGUUUGGAAUAACACGGGGAAACUUGUGCUAAUACCAAAUAAGCCCUUACGGGGAAAGUUUUAACGCCGAAAGAUGAGCCCGCACUUGAUUAGCUAGUUGGUAAGGUAAAAGCUUACCAAGGCAACGAUCAAUAGCUGUUCUUAGAGGAAGACCAGCCACAUUGGGACUGAGACACGGCCCAGACUCCUACGGGAGGCAGCAGUGGGGAAUCUUGCACAAUGGGGGAAACCCUGAUGCAGCGAUGCCGCGUGAGUGAAGAAGGCCCUUGGGUUGUAAAACUCUUUCGUCGGGGAAGAAAAUGACUGUACCCGAAUAAGAAGGUCCGGCUAACUUCGUGCCAGCAGCCGCGGUAAUACGAAGGGACCUAGCGUAGUUCGGAAUUACUGGGCUUAAAGAGCUCGUAGGUGGUUAAAAAAGUUGAUGGUGAAAUCCCAAGGCUCAACCUUGGAACUGCCAUCAAAACUUUUUAGCUAGAGUGUGAUAGAGGUAAGUGGAAUUUCUAGUGUAGAGGUGAAAUUCGUAGAUAUUAGAAAGAACACCAAAUGCGAAGGCAACUUACUGGGUCACUACUGACACUGAGGAGCGAAAGCAUGGGUAGCGAAGAGGAUUAGAUACCCUCGUAGUCCAUGCCGUAAACGAUGUGUGCUAGACGUUGGAAAUAUAUUUUUCAGUGUCGCAGCGAAAGCAUUAAGCACACCGCCUGGGGAGUACGACCGCAAGGUUAAAACUCAAAUGAAUUGACGGGGACCCGCACAAGCAGUGGAGCAUGUGGUUUAAUUCGAAGAUACGCGCAGAACCUUACCAACGCUUGACAUGUUCGUCGCGAGACUAAGAGAUUAG